RNAcentral lists this ribosomal RNA (433 nucleotides) under uncultured bacterium. RNAcentral describes it as "partial 16S ribosomal RNA". It matches the Rfam family "Bacterial small subunit ribosomal RNA", at positions 29 to 507 of the family's 1533-position model. The record is from RNAcentral.
AACGAACGCUGGCGGCAUGCCUAACACAUGCAAGUCGAACGAGACCUUCGGGUCUAGUGGCGCACGGGUGCGUAACGCGUGGGAACCUGCCCUUAGGUUCGGAAUACCUCCCCGAAAGGGGUGCUAAUACCGGAUAAUGUCUUCGGACCAAAGAUUUAUCGCCUUUGGAUGGGCCCGCGUUGGAUUAGCUCGUUGGUAGGGUAAAAGCCUACCAAGGCGACGAUCCAUAGCUGGUCUGAGAGGAUGAUCAGCCACACUGGGACUGAGACACGGCCCAGACUCUUACGGGAUGCAGCAGUGCGUAAUGUUGGACAAUGGGCGAAGGGCUGAUCCAGCACUGCCGCGUGAGUGCUGAAGGCCUGAGGGUUGUAAAGCUCUUUUACCCGGGCUGAUAAUGACAGUACCGGGAGAAUAAGCUCCGGCUAACUCCGUG